RNAcentral lists this ribosomal RNA (465 nucleotides) under uncultured bacterium. RNAcentral describes it as "partial 16S ribosomal RNA". It matches the Rfam family "Bacterial small subunit ribosomal RNA", at positions 28 to 507 of the family's 1533-position model. The record is from RNAcentral.
GACGAACGCUGGCGGCGUGCUUAACACAUGCAAGUCGAACGGAAAGGCCCCUUUGGGGGUACUCGAGUGGCGAACGGGUGAGUAACACGUGAGUAACCUGCCCUUGACUUCGGGAUAACUUCAGGAAACUGGGGCUAAUACCGGAUAGGAAUCCUUGCUGCAUGGUGGGGGUUGGAAAGCUUCGGCGGUUUUGGAUGGACUCGCGGCUUAUCAGCUUGUUGGUGGGGUAGUGGCUUACCAAGGCUUUGACGGGUAGCCGGCCUGAGAGGGCGACCGGCCACAUUGGGACUGAGGUACGGCCCAGACUCCUACGGGAGGCAGCAGUGGGAAAUAUUGCACAAUGGGCGGAAGCCUGAUGCAGCAACGCCGCGUGCGGGAGGACGGCCUUCGGGUUGUAAACCGCUUUCAGCAGGGGCGAAGCUUGUGGUGACGGUACCUGCAGAAGAAGCACCGGCUAACUACGUG